Molecule: ribosomal RNA, 254 nt
Filed under: uncultured bacterium
Lineage: Bacteria
Description: partial 16S ribosomal RNA
Rfam family: Bacterial small subunit ribosomal RNA
Source: RNAcentral
UACGGGGGGAGCAAGCGUUGUUCGGAUUUACUGGGCGUAAAGGGCGCGUAGGCGGCCAGCACAAGUCAGUUGUGAAAUCUCCGAGCUUAACUCGGAACGGUCAACUGAUACUGUGCGGCUAGAGUGCGGAAGGGGCAACUGGAAUUCUUGGUGUAGCGGUGAAAUGCGUAGAUAUCAAGAGGGACACCUGCGGCGAAGGCGGGUUGCUGAGCCGACACUGACGCUGAGGCGCGAAAGCCAGGGGAGCGAACGGG